GUCCACUGGACCUUCUACAUCCACAGAUGUGGAUAGAGAGAAUAGAGACUCUGCUGGAGGUCUUGGAGGCCAGGCCUCCAUUAGCCAACUCGGUCACGUGUCUCAGUCACUGGUAGGGAAGCGUGGGACGUGUAGGAACAGUGUGCCCGGGAAGCAGAGGAGAAACCACAGUAAUGAGCUUGCAUGCAGUCCGGCCUUCACUCUCUCCCCUUCACUCACUCGAUGAAUGUUCACUAACUGCCUGCUGUUUGCAGAGCGCUGUGUCUACAAAUGUGUCCCAUUCUAACAAGAGGGCAGAUUGGAAUUCACAAUUUCAUUGCGAUGAGGCAAGUGCCAGAGAAUGUACAAUGUACAAUAUUUCCAUCCUCAGGCUGUUUUGCUGGAACUGAGUGGCUGAACUACCCCAGCGAUUGUCUCUGGACAAGCAAACCUACUCCUACAUUCUCUCCUUGAAAGUGGAGUGGGACACAACCUCUGCCAGCGAUUUUAUUUUCUG
This 496-nucleotide long non-coding RNA is filed under the name Equus caballus (horse). RNAcentral describes it as "lncRNA (ENSECAG00000045799.1)". The record is from RNAcentral. Lineage: Eukaryota; Metazoa; Chordata; Mammalia; Perissodactyla; Equidae.